This 809-nucleotide long non-coding RNA is filed under the name Triticum aestivum (bread wheat). RNAcentral's name for it is "long non-coding RNA (TAES_LNC021451)". The record is from RNAcentral. Lineage: Eukaryota; Viridiplantae; Streptophyta; Magnoliopsida; Poales; Poaceae.
AGAAAUAGUAGUCUAAAUCACAUAGUCAUACACACAUAGCACAUAUACUUGUCCAAAUCACAUAGUCAUACACACAUAGGGAUCUCAUAUAGUCAUACACAGAAAUAUUAGUCCCCUCACAUAGUCAUACACACAUAGCACAUAUACUUGUCCAAAUCACGGUCCAUGUAGUUUCUUAUUCUUCUCCCUCCUCCCACCACCAAGGGAUCUCACCUUCCCCCUCCGUGUCCUCCACCCCCUUCAUUGUUUCCAUAUCUAUGAAAAUGGCAAUAUAAUAGUUAGUCACACAAUACAAAAUGACAACACAAGCAUUGAGCCAAAAGAAUAAGAUCAUAGUAAGUCACAUACGGCAAUGGUCCAUUGAGCCAAGAGAACAUUCCUUCACUACGGCCGCCGCCAAGGCCAAGAUCACCACUGCCUCCACCAUCACCACUGCCUCCACCAUCACCACGGCCUACACCACCACCGCGGCCUCUACCGCCACCACCACGGCCUAUACCACCACCACCACCACGGACUCUACCAACAGCACGGCCAAGACCACCACCACGACCUCUACCACCACCACGGCCAAGACCUUCACCACGACCAACACCAUCACCACGACCUCUACCACCAGCACGACCAAGACCAUCACCACGGCCAAGACCUUCACCACGACCAAGACCAUCACCACGACCUCUACCACCACCACGGCCAAGACCAUCACCACGGCCAAGACCUUCACCACGGCCAAGACCAUCACCACGGCCUCUACCACCACCACGGCCAAGACCAUCACCACGGCCAAGACCACCACCACGGCCUCU